GGCGGCAUGCCUUACACAUGCAAGUCGAACGGCAGCACGGGGGUAACCCUGGUGGCGAGUGGCGAACGGGUGAGUAAUACAUCGGAACGUGUCCUGUAGUGGGGGAUAGCCCGGCGAAAGCCGGAUUAAUACCGCAUACGAUCUACGGAAGAAAGCGGGGGAUCCUUCGGGACCUCGCGCUAUAGGGGCGGCCGAUGGCAGAUAGCUAGUUGGUGGGGUAAAGGCCUACCAAGGCGACGAUCUGUAGCUGGUCUGAGAGGACGACCAGCCACACUGGGACUGAGACACGGCCCAGACUCCUACGGGAGGCAGCAGUGGGGAAUUUUGGACAAUGGGGGAAACCCUGAUCCAGCAAUGCCGCGUGUGUGAAGAAGGCCUUCGGGUUGUAAAGCACUUUUGUCCGGAAAGAAAACUUCUGCCCUAAUACGGUGGGAGGAUGACGGUACCGGAAGAAUAAGCACCGGCUAACUACGUGCCAGCAGCCGCGGUAAUACGU
Molecule: ribosomal RNA, 496 nt
Filed under: uncultured beta proteobacterium
Lineage: Bacteria; Pseudomonadati; Pseudomonadota; Betaproteobacteria
Description: bacterial SSU rRNA
Rfam family: Bacterial small subunit ribosomal RNA
Source: RNAcentral